CUGGGGUAUUACAGACUGGACAGCCAUGGACCCUCUGUCUGCCUAUCCCACUCCGCCACCUAUCGGGGCCCGGGGAAAACGACUUGAAUCGGGGAAGGUGGAAGCCUAGGACUCCGUGUCUUUAUCGUGCACCCCAGAGGAUUUGGAGUCACCUGAAAAGCUGUGAGGUCCUCAGGCCAAGAGCUCCGAGGUCAAGGAGCAGGUUCCCAGGGGUCAGAGGGAUGAUGGCGGUUCCUCCACGUGAAGACAACCAGGGUGUGCAAAUAGACUGCUACUGUGGAGAGGUGAGGAAACUGAAGCCCAGGAGAAGUCAAGUAUUUUGCCUGAGGUCACGGAGA
This is a non-coding RNA of Odocoileus virginianus texanus, 338 nucleotides long. NCBI's taxonomy places the organism in Eukaryota, Metazoa, Chordata, Mammalia, Artiodactyla, Cervidae. The record is from RefSeq and is a predicted model, not a curated record.